GGUUAAACAAAAAAGAGCGUAGGGCGGAUGCCUUGGCACUAAGAGCCGAUGAAGGACGUGAUAAGCUGCGAUAAGCUGCGGGGAAGAGCAAAUAUCUAUUGAUCCGCAGAUUUCCGAAUGGGGAAACCUACUGCAGAAGAGCUGCAGUGACUGUGCGUGAAUCCAUAGCGUACAGCCGGGAACCCGCUGAACUGAAACAUCUGAGUAGGCGGAGGAAGAGAAAACAACAGUGAUUCCGUAAGUAGCGGCGAGCGAACGCGGAAGAGCCCAAACCGCAGUGCGUGCACUGCGGGGUUCGGACUGCACACGGGAAUUGAAUCGUUACCGGAAAGACUUUGGAACAGUCUGCCAGAGAGGGUGAAAGCCCCGUACGGGAAAACGAGUUGAGACCCAGCAGGAUCCAGAGUACCACGAGACACGUGAAACCUUGUGGGAAGGCGGGGGGACCACCCCCUAAGGCUAAAUACUACUUAGUGACCGAUAGUGCAUAGUACUGUGAAGGAAAGGUGAAAAGGACCCCGGGAGGGGAGUGAAAAAGAACCUGAAACCCUAUGUUUACAUGCAGUGGAAGUGCGAUACAUGAACGCACAACCGCGUACUUUUUGUAGAACGGUCCGGCGAGUUGCCGGUGCUGGCAAGGUUAAGGACUACAGGUCCG
This 658-nucleotide non-coding RNA is filed under the name Stomatobaculum longum. Its description in RNAcentral is "Lachnospiraceae bacterium ACC2 Bacterial large subunit ribosomal RNA". It matches the Rfam family "Bacterial large subunit ribosomal RNA", at positions 1 to 662 of the family's 2925-position model. Lineage: Bacteria; Bacillati; Bacillota; Clostridia; Lachnospirales; Lachnospiraceae. The record is from Rfam by way of RNAcentral.